CUACGGGAGGCAGCAGUGGGGAAUAUUGCACAAUGGGCGCAAGCCUGAUGCAGCCAUGCCGCGUGUAUGAAGAAGGCCUUCGGGUUGUAAAGUACUUUCAGCGGGGAGGAAGGGAGUAAAGUUAAUACCUUUGCUCAUUGACGUUACCCGCAGAAGAAGCACCGGCUAACUCCGUGCCAGCAGCCGCGGUAAUACGGAGGGUGCAAGCGUUAAUCGUAAUUACUGGGCGUAAAGCGCACGCAGGCGGUUUGGUAAGUCAGAUGUGAAAUCCCCGGGCUCAACCUGGGAACUGCAUCUGAUACUGGCAAGCUUGAGUCUCGUAGAGGGGGGUAGAAUUCCAGGUGUAGCGGUGAAAUGCGUAGAGAUCUGGAGGAAUACCGGUGGCGAAGGCGGCCCCCUGGACGAAGACUGACGCUCAGGUGCGAAAGCGUGGGGAGCAAACAGGAUUAGAUACCCCCGUAGUC
RNAcentral lists this ribosomal RNA (464 nucleotides) under uncultured bacterium. Its description in RNAcentral is "partial 16S ribosomal RNA". It matches the Rfam family "Bacterial small subunit ribosomal RNA", at positions 339 to 795 of the family's 1533-position model. The record is from RNAcentral.